GCCUAAUACAUGCAAGUCGAACGCGCAGCGAAAGGUGCUUGCACCUUCAAGCGAGUGGCGAACGGGUGAGUAACACGUGGAUAACCUGCCUCAAGGCUGGGGAUAACAUUUGGAAACAGAUGCUAAUACCGAAUAAAACUUAGUAUCGCAUGAUACAAAGUUGAAAGGCGCUACGGCGUCACCUAGAGAUGGGUCCGCGGUGCAUUAGUUAGUUGGUGGGGUAAAGGCCUACCAAGACAAUGAUGCAUAGCCGAGUUGAGAGACUGAUCGGCCACAUUGGGACUGAGACACGGCCCAAACUCCUACGGGAGGCUGCAGUAGGGAAUCUUCCACAAUGGGCGAAAGCCUGAUGGAGCAACGCCGCGUGUGUGAUGAAGGCUUUAGGGUCGUAAAGCACUGUUGUAUGGGAAGAAAUGCUAGAAUAGGGAAUGAUUCUAGUUCGACGGUACCAUACCAGAAAGGGACGGCUAAAUACGUG
RNAcentral lists this ribosomal RNA (478 nucleotides) under uncultured bacterium. RNAcentral's name for it is "bacterial SSU rRNA". It matches the Rfam family "Bacterial small subunit ribosomal RNA", at positions 46 to 507 of the family's 1533-position model. The record is from RNAcentral.